UGAAGACCAUGGACAUGCUCAAUGCUCACUUGGACACACCUUGGAGGUGCCCAGUGUCCAUCUGGAACCCACUGAGAAAGUGCCCAGUGCCCACCUGGAGACCACACAGGUGCCCUGUGCCCACCUGGACACACCUUGGAGAUGCUCAGUGCCCUCCUGGGCAUGUCAGAGGUGCCCAGUGUCCAUCUGGAACCCACUGAGAAAGCACCCAGUGCUCACCUGAAGACCAAGCAGGUGCCCAGUGCCCACCUGGAGGUGCCCAGUGCUCACCUGGAACCUACCAAGAAAGUGCCCAGUGCUCACCUGGACACACCUUGGAGAUGCUCAUUGCCCACCUGGGCACACCUUGGUACCCAGUGCCCACCUGGAGGUGCCCAGCGCUCACCUGGGCAUGUCAGAGGUGCCCAGUGCCCACCUGGAGACCAUGGGCAUUCCCAGUGCUCACCUGGGCACACCUUGGAGGUGCCCAGUGCUCACCUGUAGACCAUGCAGGUGCCCAGUGCCCACCUGGACACACCUGGGAGGUGCCCAGUACCCACCUGGAACCCACCGAGAAAGUGCCCAGUGCCCACCUGGAGACCACGCAGGUGCCCAGUGCCCACCUGGAGACCAUGCAGGUGCCCUGUGCCCACCUGGAGGUGCCCAGUGCUCACCUGGAGCCCACCGAGAAAGUGCCCAGGGCUCACCUGGACACACCUUGGAGAUGCCCAGUGUCCAUCUGGGCAUGGCAGAGGUGCCCGGUGCUCACCUGGACACAUCAGUGCCCACCUGGACAUGUUAGAGGUGCCCUCUGCCCACCUGGACUCACCUUGGAGGUGCCCAGUGCCCACCUGGAACCCCACAGGUGCUCCUGGCCUGGGGGACCCUGUGCCCCGCCCCUGUGCACACCUGUGCCCGCAGGUGAUGGGGGUGCCAGGGGGUACCUGGGGAGGUACCUGAGCUCACCUGGCACUGGUGAGGGGUACCUGAGGGGUACCUGAGAGGAACCUGAGCACACCUGGCACAGGUGAGGGGUGCCAGGGGGUACCAGGGGGGUGCCAGAGGGUACCUGAGCACACCUGGCACAGGUGAGGGGUACCUGAUGGGUGCCAGGGGGUACCUGGGGGUUCCUGAGCUCACCUGCCCAGGUGAGGGGUGCCAGGGGGUGCCAGGGGGUUCCUGAGCUCACCUGGCACAGGUGAGGGGUGCCAGGGGGUGCCAGGGGGUUCCUGAGCUCACCUGGCACAGGUGAGGGGUGCCAGGGGGUGCCAGGGGUUUCCUGAGCUCACCUGGCACAGGUGAGGGGUGCCAGGGGGGUACCUGGGGGUUCCUGAGCUCACCUGGCACAGGUGAGGGGUGCCAGGGGGUGCCAGGCGGUUCCUGAGCUCACCUGCACAGGUGAGGGGUGCCAGGGGGUGCCAGGCGGUUCCUGAGCUCACCUGCACAGGUGAGGGGUGCCAGGGGGUGCCAGGCGGUUCCUGAGCUCACCUGGCACAGGUGAGGGGUGCCAGGGGGUGCCAGGCGGUUCCUGAGCUCACCUGCCCAGGUGAGGCCGUUCCCGCGUUCCCCUCCCCCCCAUGUCAAUAAAGGCGCCCCUCCCCCA
Melospiza melodia melodia is the source of this 1582-nucleotide long non-coding RNA. RefSeq lists it as uncharacterized. Lineage: Eukaryota; Metazoa; Chordata; Aves; Passeriformes; Passerellidae. The record is from RefSeq and is a predicted model, not a curated record. The transcript has 2 exons.